GCCAGAGUGGUGUAGUGGUUUGAGUGUUGGACUAUGACUCUGGAGACCAGGGUUCAAAUUCCGGCUUGGACA
RNAcentral lists this transfer RNA (72 nucleotides) under Phrynosoma platyrhinos (Desert horned lizard). RNAcentral describes it as "tRNA-OTHER". Lineage: Eukaryota; Metazoa; Chordata; Lepidosauria; Squamata; Phrynosomatidae. The record is from RNAcentral.